AAAUGAUGGGUAAUACUGUAUAAUCCCCGCGGGGGAAAGAUUUAUCGCUAUUAGAUGAGCCUACGUUAGAUUAGCUAGUUGGUAAGGUAAUGGCUUACCAAGGCUAUGAUCUAUAGCUGGUCUGAGAGGACGAUCAGCCACACUGGAACUGAGAUACGGUCCAGACUCCUACGGGAGGCAGCAGUGGGGAAUAUUGGACAAUGGGCGAAAGCCUGAUCCAGCUAUGCCGCGUGAGUGAAGAAGGCCUUCGGGUUGUAAAACUCUUUCAAUAGGGAAGAUAAUGACGGUACCUAUAGAAGAAGUCCCGGCAAACUCUGUGCCAGCAGCCGCGGUAAUACGGAGGGGGCAAGCGUUGUUCGGAAUUAUUGGGCGUAAAGGGCACGUAGGUGGACUAGUAAGUUAAAAGUGAAAUACCAAAGCUUAACUUUGGAGCGGCUUUUAAUACUGCUAGACUAGAGGUCGAAAGAGGAUAGCGGAAUUCCUAGUGUAGAGGUGAAAUUCGUAGAUAUUAGGAGGAACACCAGUUGCGAAGGCGGCUAUCUGGUUCGAUACUGACACUGAGGUGCGAAAGCGUGGGGAGCAAACAGGAUUAGAUACCCUGGUAGUCCACGCUGUAAACGAUGAGUGCUAAAUGUGAGGAUUUUAUCUUUGUAUUGUAGCUAACGCGUUAAGCACUCCGCCUGGGGACUACGGUCGCAAGACUAAAACUCAAAGGAAUUGACGGGGACCCGCACAAGCGGUGGAGCAUGUGGUUUAAUUCGAUGCUACGCGAAAAACCUUACCACUUUUUGACAUGAAGGUCGUAUCCCUCCUAACAGGGGGAGUCAGUUCGGCUGGACCUUACACAGGUGCUGCAUGGUUGUCGUCAGCUCGUGUCGUGAGAUGUUGGGUUAAGUCCCGCAACGAGCGCAACCCUCAUUCUUAGUUACCAACAGGUAAUGCUGGGCACUCUAAGGAAACUGCCAGUGAUAAACUGGAGGAAGGUGGGGAUGAUGUCAAAUCAGCACGGCCCUUAUAAGGUGGGCUACACACGUGCUACAAUGGCAACUACAAUAGGUUGCGAGACCGCAAGGUUUAGCUAAUCCAUAAAAGUUGUCUCAGUUCGGAUUGUUCUCUGCAACUCGAGAGCAUGAAGUCGGAAUCGCUAGUAAUCGUGGAUCAUCACGCCACGGUGAAUACGUUCUCGGGUCUUGUACACACUGCCCGUCACGCCAUGGGAAUUGGCUUAACUCGAAGCUGGUGUACUAACAGAAAAGGAAAGC
This 1262-nucleotide ribosomal RNA is filed under the name uncultured Ehrlichia sp. Its description in RNAcentral is "bacterial SSU rRNA". It matches the Rfam family "Bacterial small subunit ribosomal RNA", at positions 154 to 1453 of the family's 1533-position model. The record is from RNAcentral. Lineage: Bacteria; Pseudomonadati; Pseudomonadota; Alphaproteobacteria; Rickettsiales; Anaplasmataceae.